This is a non-coding RNA of Brachypodium distachyon (stiff brome), 160 nucleotides long. RefSeq annotates it as microRNA MIR528. The transcript has a single exon. The record is from RefSeq and is marked provisional. Lineage: Eukaryota; Viridiplantae; Streptophyta; Magnoliopsida; Poales; Poaceae.
UUUGGGGUUGGGAUUGGGGGCUGGAGCAGCAGCGGUGGAAGGGGCAUGCAGAGGAGCAGGGAUGAUGGGGGGUUGUACUCUGCUUCUUCCCCUCUCGUUCUCCUGUGCCUGCCUCUUCCAUUCCUGCUGCUACCGCCGUGCUCGGUGGGCAGGGCUGGGC